Molecule: long non-coding RNA, 1691 nt
Filed under: Homo sapiens (human)
Lineage: Eukaryota; Metazoa; Chordata; Mammalia; Primates; Hominidae
Description: HSALNT0387015
Source: RNAcentral
ACCUGGCCAAUGUUUUUGUGUUUUAAAAAAUGAACACAAUGAGCACAUGUUCAUUGGAUAAUAAGUUAUUAAAAGUGAUUAUGAGGCAACCACCAGCUCACUUUGAUCACCACAGCAGUGAAACGAGGCUACAGAGCCAUGGCUGAGGGAAAACUUAAGGGUACAGUCAUCUGGAAUCUUUCAUUAGAAGCUGUGUAAGUAACACCAAAAUAAAAGUGACAACCAACUGUCUAGGAAGAGCCACGUGCUUCACAAAGGGCAGGACAAGCAUUGCCAUGUCAUAAUCGGCAGCCUCACCUGCUGUAUUAGUCCCUUUGUGUUGUUAUAAAAGAAUACCUGAAGCUGGGUAAUUUUUAAAGAAAAAAGAGUUAUUUGGUCCAUGACUGUGGAGGCUGGAAGAUUGAGCAUCUGGUGGAAGCCCCAGGCUGUUUCUGCUCAUGGCGGAAGGUGCAGGGGAGCUGGCACGUGCAGAGAUCACACAGUGAGAGAGGAAGCAAGACAGAGAGGUGAGGCACUAGGCUCUUUUUAGCAACCAGCUCUGGCAGGAACUACUAGAAUGAGAAUUCACUCUCCAUUCCUGCAGGGAGGGCAUUAAUCUAUUCAUGUGGAAUCCACUCCUAUGACCCAAACACCUCUCAUUAGUCCCCACCUCCAACACUGGGAUCAAAUUUCCACAUGAGGUUUGGGGAACAAACAUCCAAACUCUUAGCACAUUGCCUAUUCUUUUUUCUAGGAUGCCCCAGCAUAGGAUGCCCUGUCAGUACCCCAGAGAUCAUGAUCCUAGGAAGAAGAAACUCAUUGUCUGCCAUUGCCUCCACCUCCCUUGACUUACUCGCUCCAGGCCACCAGAAUCUAGACUUGACCUUUAAUUGCAGAAGGACAUCUCCCUGCUGCAGGCAGUCGAUCAGAGAUCUUGGCUCUAAUCUCCACGUAUGUAUCACUGAUUCUCAAAAGAGGAAAAUUAAGGAGUGUCAAAAAGAGAACGAGAGAGAAGCAGGAUGCUCUGGAGAAUGAAAGAUGCUGUACAUUCUGUAAAUCAUUUUGCUGGUUUCAAUAGAAAGUCCAGACCAAGUGGAAUAAAGUGCAUUUUGUGGGUCAGAUGUAAAAGACAGAAGAGACCUGCCCAAAGAAACAUUCCGUGGUACCAGAGGAAAUCGAGCACCAAGAGGCCUUUUUAUCCCCCCUAUACUCAAAGAUGAAAACUAGACUAGGGUCCCUUUUCAAGGUAAAAUGACAGGCAGGUCCAUUAAGCUGCUGUGAAAUUGUUCCCCAUCCUGCAAAUUCAUCCACCAGACCGGGCCCUGCAUCUUACUCAUCCUCAUGUCUCCAUUGUCUGAUAUAAGACCUGGCACAAAUUGGUACUUCCUGCUUGUUAGUGAAACUCAAUAUAUCACACAAUUAAGUACUUUUCCAUUUUAAGAUUGAACAGUAAACCUACCCUGUCUCCCUCUGUUCUCUGCUCUAACUCCUAGUUUGCUGUGGUGAUCACCCUUUAGUGUCUUAACAAGAUUCAAGGCACUGUUCACAUCCCACUAAAUUAGUUCCCUAUGGUUCCUAUAACAAAUUACUACAGACUUAGUGGCUUAAACCAACAGGGGUUUAUUAUGUUAUAGUUCUAGAGGUCAGAAAUCCAAAAUGGUUUUCAUUGGCCUAAAAUCAAGGUGUCAGCUGGGCCAUGUUCCUUCUGGAGG